RNAcentral lists this transfer RNA (71 nucleotides) under Candidatus Omnitrophota bacterium. RNAcentral describes it as "tRNA-Cys". It matches the Rfam family "tRNA". From Rfam's summary of the family: Transfer RNA (tRNA) molecules are approximately 80 nucleotides in length. The record is from RNAcentral. Lineage: Bacteria; Pseudomonadati; Candidatus Omnitrophota.
GGCGCGAUGGCCGAGUAGUUAGGCAGAGGUCUGCAAAACCUUGUACACCGGUGCGAUUCCGGUUCGCGCCU